UUAGUCUUUAUGAGCAGGCAAAUCCUGGCCUCAACAGUCUGUAUGACAUAUAUAUCUUAUAUCUGUAUAUAUAAUACUAUAUUGCACGUUAGGCUUAAUAAACCUUGAAUGUACAUGAUGUAUGUUCACAUGAGGAAUUGAACAUUAAUAGUAUCACUUUCGAGCCGCCAGCACACACUCAAUGAGUUUGAUUCGAAAUACAUACAUGUAUGAAUGAAAUAAAAUAUAACAAUACAUGAACAUGAUUAAAAUAUUGAUAACUCACAGGUCUAUUAAUACAUUAAAAUGUAUACACAUACUUGUAGAAUUUCGAGCAGGCAAAUCCUGACCUCAAAGUCAAUACCAUUUCUUAACAAUAUACUACCUUUAAU
RNAcentral lists this long non-coding RNA (371 nucleotides) under Mytilus galloprovincialis (Mediterranean mussel). The record is from RNAcentral. Lineage: Eukaryota; Metazoa; Mollusca; Bivalvia; Mytilida; Mytilidae.